GAAUGUGAGGGUGAACUGGCUGUGACGUGUCACCCCAUUGAUUAUCAGGGUUGAUUCAGCUGAUCUGGCUGGCUAGGCGGACAUUCCUCCCUCAUCACUCCUCACCCUCCCAAACUGCCUGCUCCCCUGCUAGAACCACCAAACAAACUUUCAACUCAUAUAUACAUAUAUAAAUGAAUGGGCUUGGGAGAAAUAUGGCAGUUUUCACUGGAGGGAGGUAUAGAACUCUGGUGGUGGGAAUGGUAUGGAAUUAUAACUGUUGUCUUAUAAAUCACUUUAGUAAAACACUAAUUAAGAAGUU
RNAcentral lists this small nuclear RNA (301 nucleotides) under Erinaceus europaeus (western European hedgehog). RNAcentral describes it as "7SK RNA". It matches the Rfam family "7SK RNA". Rfam says of the family: 7SK was discovered as an abundant small nuclear RNA in the mid-70s but a possible function has only recently been suggested. The record is from Rfam by way of RNAcentral. Lineage: Eukaryota; Metazoa; Chordata; Mammalia; Eulipotyphla; Erinaceidae.